GCCAUUAGAAUAGCAACCUUGUAACUUGGUCAGGACAGAAAUGAAGCAGCCACAUCGAGAAGUGUUAUGUCUAAUGGUUUUU
This 82-nucleotide non-coding RNA is filed under the name Mycoplasma mobile 163K. The record is from Rfam by way of RNAcentral. Lineage: Bacteria; Bacillati; Mycoplasmatota; Mycoplasmoidales; Metamycoplasmataceae.